GGGGGUGUACUGGUUUCGACGGGGGCAGUCGAGGUAAAAGUAGCGAGCCGAGUUGUCCGCCAGCUCGUAAAAAUGGUGGAGUAAAAAUAAACGCAGACAGAGAAUUAGCUUACGCUGCCUAAUUUAAGGUAGCCGUCCAACCUGAAAUGCCCACGUUUCAGGAUUGGGCGUCAAAAAAGUGGGGAACUGGUUUUGCUCAGGCUUCGGGGCAAAACCGGAACUUAUGAAG
RNAcentral lists this transfer-messenger RNA (229 nucleotides) under Thermoanaerobacter sp. Its description in RNAcentral is "partial transfer-messenger RNA". It matches the Rfam family "transfer-messenger RNA", at positions 1 to 249 of the family's 374-position model. Rfam says of the family: Bacterial tmRNA, also known as 10Sa RNA or SsrA, is named for its dual tRNA and mRNA-like properties. Its role is to liberate the mRNA from a stalled ribosome. The record is from RNAcentral. Lineage: Bacteria; Bacillati; Bacillota; Clostridia; Thermoanaerobacterales; Thermoanaerobacteraceae.